GACGAACGCUGGCGGCGUGCUUAACACAUGCAAGUCGAACGGAAAGGCCCUGCUUUUGUGGGGUGCUCGAGUGGCGAACGGGUGAGUAACACGUGAGUAACCUGCCCUUGACUUUGGGAUAACUUCAGGAAACUGGGGCUAAUACCGGAUAGGAGCUCCUGCUGCAUGGUGGGGGUUGGAAAGUUUCGGCGGUUGUGGAUGGACUCGCGGCUUAUCAGCUUGUUGGUGGGGUAGUGGCUUACCAAGGCUUUGACGGGUAGCCGGCCUGAGAGGGUGACCGGCGACAUUGGGACUGAGAUACGGACCAGAAUCCUACGGGAGGCAGCAGUGGGGAAUAUUGCACAAUGGGCGGAAGCCUGAGGCAGAAACGCCGCGUGCGGGAUGACGGCCUUCGGGGUGUAAACAGCUUUCGCCUGUGACGAAGCGUGAGUGACGGUAAUGGGUAAAGAAGCACCGGCUAACUACGUG
RNAcentral lists this ribosomal RNA (468 nucleotides) under uncultured bacterium. Its description in RNAcentral is "partial 16S ribosomal RNA". It matches the Rfam family "Bacterial small subunit ribosomal RNA", at positions 28 to 507 of the family's 1533-position model. The record is from RNAcentral.